GGACCGGUUACCGUAGUGACCGAACGGCCCUGACUUUUAAUCAGGUUGGCGCAAGCCACAACGCAGGUUUGACUCCUGCCCGGUCCCCCA
This 90-nucleotide transfer RNA is filed under the name Taklimakanibacter albus. Its description in RNAcentral is "tRNA-Lys". It matches the Rfam family "tRNA". From Rfam's summary of the family: Transfer RNA (tRNA) molecules are approximately 80 nucleotides in length. The record is from RNAcentral. Lineage: Bacteria; Pseudomonadati; Pseudomonadota; Alphaproteobacteria; Hyphomicrobiales; Aestuariivirgaceae.